Apis cerana (Asiatic honeybee) is the source of this 2985-nucleotide long non-coding RNA. RefSeq lists it as uncharacterized. The record is from RefSeq and is a predicted model, not a curated record. Lineage: Eukaryota; Metazoa; Arthropoda; Insecta; Hymenoptera; Apidae.
UUUAAAUGUGUGCACGUGUAAUACUGGCGCGCGAAGGCCAACGUAAAUCUGUGUUUCGACGUUUAUUCCGUUGCAAAGCGUUAAUUUCUGCGGGUUACCGCGCCACGUCGUGACGGUGCGCCCUUAAAUGGCCAACUCUCGGCUUGGUUUCGCGCGUUCUAUCCAACUAUUUGCAUUGUUAAAUAUUAGUAAUAACGAUCGAGGCUUUGGACCGAGUGUUGCGCAAUUUACGAGCUAGAAACAAAUACAUCGCCUGCAGCCUCGGACUAACGAAGUUGGUGGAGCUGGUGAACCAGUACCAGGGCUGUAAAAAAAAGCACGGGGACCACACGGGAGGCUUCUGCUUCUUGCGACGAAGACGAGGUUUCGAGAGGAAAGGUUCGAACGUGGAUUGCACGUUUCGAGUAUGGACGGCUUCGAGGUUUUUUUAGAUUUUCCACUUGAGAAGGAGGAGAAGGAGGAAGAAACUGGAUGUUUAAUUAAGGGAUUUCGAUGAGAAAGUUGGAUCUGGAACGAUGAGAUUAACAGAGGGUUGAAGUUUCUCAUUUUAAACUUUUUUUUUGGAGAGUAAUGUUAAUUGAAAGAAUUUCGAUGUGAAACGAUGGAUGAUGGAUAAUAAGAGAAAAUGAUAAGAUGGAUAUUGAAAUAUUAUAAAAAGAUGGAAGGAAGAAUUUUUUGAUUCGUAUUGAAUUUUUUUUUGCAAUUAUUGUAAUAAUUUAAUUUCUUGCUUAAGACGAAACGCGUAUUUUUUUUUAUUUAACUUAUAAGGAAAUGAUUUAUUCUGAUGGAUAUAUGAUUGGAUAUAGGAAUCGCAAGAAACAGAGGUUCCGUUGUCACGCUAGAAACCCCAUGGUGGCGAGAACUAGAAGUACCGCUACGAAUAUAACUCGCUUCCCGCUUGUCUCAUCUCUGUUACAGAGAGUAAAUUGGCAAGUGUUUUUAAAUACCUAGUAAUUAUAGAUUAUAAAAGAGUAGAAAGAGUAUGUCACGAGAGAGAUUUUUAAUUGAUAAAGUUAUAAAAUUUUAUAAGUUAAUUAUUGCCAAGUUAAUAAGUAAGUAAGAUUUUUCAAACUGCAAAUUGAAUUCUACCUCGUUCUUCAAUCAACACGCUACCGUCGAAAGCAAACAAAUUUUCCUGUCAUCGACAAUAAUUAUUUCCUAUUUUAAAAUAAUUUCAUUAACGGUUAUCGACAAUAUCCUUUUGAUCGAAGCCAACUUUAGAUUAUUUCUGCUCAUUCAAGCCCAGCAUUUUUCCUCCAAUAAUUCCUAACCGCAGUAAAAAUCGAGACGAGUCGACGAUAACGAGAUUCACGCUUCCAAUUCAUUUAAACAUAUCGAACAAACGUAAUAAAGCAAUAAUGAAGAAAGAAGAGAGAGGGGGAAGAACGAAAAGAAAAAUCGAAAGAAAACAGCAGCGAAUAAAAAAUACACGGGAUAAAAAACAGAGGGGAAAACGGUGAGCAAGCGGCGGAUGGCAAUAUGGCGGCGGAAAAACCGAGCCAUCUGGCGGACGAAACGGAAAUGAGGAUCGAAACCGCGAUUCUCCGGUCUCGAAACGCGGAAUGGCAAGUUUCUUUAUGCAGGGUGUGAUCGAGGUGUCCGCAAUGACGAAUAAUGCUCAGCGCGCAAAUCAACCGAGUGAAAAAGAGCGUGCAACGGAGAGACAAGAAGUCGCGCCUGUGACCGCGGCCGCGUACGAGCAUUGAAUAACGCCAUGCCAGAACGAAGAGGAUCGUUUUUGCGGCGUCAUUGACAUUUUCAUUAAGUCGCUUCCCUUUACAGAGGCUCAUGAUUAUUUAUAGGUCGAUUGAUGAUGAUAAUGACCACCGUGGCGCGUCUCGAACGAUCCUUUUUUUUUUUCCUUUUUCCUUCUCAAUGCGGACCAAGGUGAUUGAGAGUCAGCGCGUGUUUCAUUGGUAGAUGGCAUGACGAUUCGACUGAUGAGGAAUGAUGUUGUCGGAGAAGAAGAACAAUAAAGCGGGAGAGUUAUUUUUAAGGAUACCGAUUUUAAAAUUGUAAACAAGUUGCCAUUCAGCCAAGAAGAAAUUAAUCGGAAUUGGAUUUCAUUCCCCGAUACGGCUUCCUACGACAUUCGAUUAUUGUAUUAAGUAAAAGAAGGGAAUUCUUCUAUGAUUAUAAUGUUAUAACUUAAUUUAUGAAAAUGUUGAAUUGUUAGGAAUAUUUAUUACUACAGGGACACGUUAUGUAUUAAUAAAAAAAAUACUAUACCAGAAAAGAAGGAACAUCUCGAGUCGUGUUCCUGGCAUCGCAACGAAAAUUAUUACCAUUCUCUUUUCGACAUUGCACAUUCCUUGUAAUAACAUAUGGUACAUCCAUAACAUUGUUGCAAAACAAGGUCGACACUGUACCACUUCUGGAUGGGAUUGCCUCUUAACACGGAGUAGGGCUGUGUUCCGUAACGUCGCCGUCAACCACGAUGCAAUCAAGUCUUAAGCGUGCAAAUGCGACGUGCAAACAAACUGGAACGGCAAUUAUUUACGUAAGCAUCGAGAUCGUGGGAUCUGUUUGGAAUGACACGUCGUUAGACGGCAGGAUCGAUAUUCUAGUUCCUGAAGAAUUAUUACUGGUCAUCCUUGAGGCUGGCCGAGAGAUCUUUUGCAAGGACGGAUUGACAAGUAGAUUUCGAUCAAUCAUCUCCAUCAUUUUUGAUAAUUGCAGCCUGUGAACGAUACAUUAGACGUUGGUACGAGGCAAUUAGCGAGUAGGAUUGAUGGAGUUGCACUAAAAAAACUUUUUCAUCUUAUAUUUAAAUAAAAAGAAAAAAAACUGUACUUUUUUCAAUAUAGUUUCAAUUAUUUUGAAUCAAAGAAUAUACGAAAGUGUAUUGUUUUAAAUUUUUUUUAAGGAGAAAUGCAUUCGAAGAUCGUUGAAUUUUGAGGAGGGAUGAUCCAUGGAAACUUGGAAUUACGAAACUAAUUAAUCAUUGAAAAAAAGAACAAAUAAAAUUAUUAUGAAAAUAAUAAA